UACGUAGGGUGCGAGCGUUGUCCGGAAUUAUUGGGCGUAAAGAGCUUGUAGGCGGUUUGUCGCGUCUGCUGUGAAAAUCCGGGGCUCAACCCCGGACUUGCAGUGGGUACGGGCAGACUAGAGUGUGGUAGGGGAGACUGGAAUUCCUGGUGUAGCGGUGAAAUGCGCAGAUAUCAGGAGGAACACCGAUGGCGAAGGCAGGUCUCUGGGCCACUACUGACGCUGAGAGACGAAAGCUAGGGGAGCGAAUGGG
This 253-nucleotide ribosomal RNA is filed under the name uncultured bacterium. RNAcentral's name for it is "partial 16S ribosomal RNA". It matches the Rfam family "Bacterial small subunit ribosomal RNA", at positions 524 to 776 of the family's 1533-position model. The record is from RNAcentral.